GAGCGAGAGGAAGAUGAAGGUGGCUGUGCUCAGCGUGGCCCUGCUCUUCUCCAUCCUGCUGUGCCUCCCAGCACAGAGCAAGGCCGACAUGGAGGGCAGUGGUGUUAUAUGUGCUGGGCAAAUUGGUGGCAUUGGUGACGGCAAGUCAGGCAUUGUAGGAGGCAUAGGUGGAUGCAUUCCGGUAAGUCCUGGCAUUGGGGCACCAGUGUGGGAACUGGGGGCCAGUUGGGUGCCCUCAUGCCUUGCUGGGACUGGGGACACCCCAGUGACCAGUGACAUCUCCCCACCUCUCUACAGAAACCAAAAGGCAUGGGACGAGUGAAGAGGUCUGAGGUGGAGCUUCUGCAGGAGUGAUGCCCGGCUGCCCCUCUGGAUGCCCUGGCCUGGAACUGGUGGUGACACUCACGUCCUGUCCCUCUCUAGCGGCAUGAGGAGAUGAUCAUCCCUGGAAAACCCCCCUGAUUCCCUGGGAGCCCUUGGAAUUUCCCUGGAAUAAUCAAUAAACCCCUUCAGCAAAGCAA
This is a long non-coding RNA of Motacilla alba alba, 521 nucleotides long. RefSeq lists it as uncharacterized. The record is from RefSeq and is a predicted model, not a curated record. The transcript is spliced from 6 exons. Lineage: Eukaryota; Metazoa; Chordata; Aves; Passeriformes; Motacillidae.